CGAAUUAUAACUUAAUAGGUAAAGUAUCUGGUCUUGAUCCAGAGAAUACAAGUUCAAAUCUUGUUAAUUCAC
RNAcentral lists this transfer RNA (72 nucleotides) under Beta vulgaris subsp. vulgaris (sugar beet). It matches the Rfam family "tRNA". Rfam says of the family: Transfer RNA (tRNA) molecules are approximately 80 nucleotides in length. Their secondary structure includes four short double-helical elements and three loops (D, anti-codon, and T loops). Lineage: Eukaryota; Viridiplantae; Streptophyta; Magnoliopsida; Caryophyllales; Amaranthaceae. The record is from Rfam by way of RNAcentral.